AAGCAAUCAUUAGUACAUAAGAACACAAUAGAAACUGCAAGAAACAUCUUCAGAAUAUAAUACAAGAAACAAUGAUUAAAUACUUCCAAUAGUGGCAAAAUUACAAAAGCAAGACCUCACAAUGAGGGAAGAAAUCCUUGUAGCAGAAUUAAAACUCUAUUAACCAAGAGAUUCAGAACUGCAUAAUUCAUGUGCCUUAAGAUUAGGGAACCUCUUAUGUGAUCACAUUAGAGGUCAUAGACAUUGAAGCAGCUCUGUCGUUCAAGUUCGAUAUUUCUUUCUUGAAAUCUUUAGCCAAGUCCCGAUUGAUAUUGGUACACUCCAUCUCACUUCCCUCUAAUUAAAAUUAUGGAAUAACACUUAUGACCGCAUCCCCGAAGACAUAUUGAAGUUUAUGGAGAUUCCCCAUGAACAUUUAAACACGUGGAGAAAUCCAUAAACACGAUUAAAAAAAAAUGAUUUCGAUUAAAAGUACGGACUUCUUUGUUCUCCCACACGCCUAAAAUCCGAUAAUAAGAACUUCAUGGAAUAUACCCUAUUUAUUGGAAAAUAAACCCAGAAAAAGCAAAUGUACCGUGAUAUCUCUGAAUCCAAAAAACCCAGAUGGUAACUGCAAACAUUAUAAUCAACAUAAGAUCCGCUAAAAAAAAUACAUACCAAGUGUGAAGAUUCUCAAUUAGAAGCUAUAUUAAGCGUGUGGCUUUCAAAGAAAAACAUGAUUAUGAAAUCACAAAUACAUAUUAAGACAUAGUUUAGCAAAUAUCCACUUAAACAUCUACAUUUCAGGUAACAAAAACAGAUUAUGUUCAAUCCCUAAAUGAAAAGCUAAUCGACUAGGUAUAACACACUUAUUCCAUAAGUGAAGGGUAAAUUCUAGAAAGAAGAAAGAGCUAAGAAGCACAUAAAUAAGGCAUAAGAAAUAUAACACCAGCCAAUCAUGUAAUCGAAUCUAUAAGAACAUAUAAAUCACCCAAAUACUAACGCUUUAAUUCAAGUUUUAUUCCUUCAUCUUUCCUUUGCAAUUAAUUACCAACGCUGUUUGAUUUAUUUUUAUUAUGAGUUCUAGCUAAAUUUCUAUAUUCCGGCAUUGAUUAGGGAAGCACUAGCGAAAUUAUUCUGUGAGAUCUAAUUGUUCUUAUACUUUAUUUUUAUGCUUGCAUCUGCGAUUCUUCAUGUUUAAUGAUAUUAAUUGUUUUAAUCCAUUAGAUAGUUGCAAAUAUUUAUUGGGUUAGAAUUAAUUAUAUAGCCAAUUGAACCGGCCAUCCGUAAUUGUGGUUUAGGUUUGAUUAGUGGUAAAUUGACACAUCAGGGUCAAGGGAAAAGCAGUCUUAAUUCAAUAAUCCUGCGUCAGAGUUUAUUGGUUUUGAAUCGGGUUUCUCUAGAUAUUAAUGCUAUCGGCUCAUUAAAUCUAUAGAGCGUCUCUUACGGUUGUCAGUCGAUUAGGGUAGUAAUUAGUGAAGCGUCUUCCUGGUUACCGAAUAAUUAAGGAGAAAUAAGAUCACGUCAGAAGCGUCUUCGGUGAUUAUAACUGGUUUGUUUGCAUGAUUUAAAGUUAUUUUUGCAUCGAUGAUCGGAAUAAUUGAGCUAGGGUGGACUUAAUUGAUUGCUGGAAUUCUUUUAUUAAUUGUUGGAAUUUUUAUUCAUCUUUUGGUUAAUUGGAAAAAUUGGUUUAUUCGGAUUUUAUUUAUUUAAUUUUAAGUUUAGUAAUUUCUAUAUNAAAAAAAAAAUUCAUGAACAUGAUUUUGCAGAAGACGCAUGAAGUAUCAAAAUAAUUGAAAAAAAAAAAAAACAAAGUUCAAUGUCAUCUUCGAUUUCAAGCGUGCGUGAAGACGACUCAACAACUAGAGUUUGAAUGUUCCAUAGGUUGGAUUCUGUCGCAGGUACAAUCUUGAAGUUGCAAGAAAGUGCUAUAUACCUCAAAUGGACCAGUUGAGUGAGAUCAGUAGAGAAACGCUUGAAAUUGAAGCUGCAAGGAUAGAUGAAAUGUGCUCUGCCGGUAAAAUAGUCUCCUCAGACGAGUAGCACAAGAACGAACAGACUUGUGUACCAUUUGGCCUCAAGGAGAUAUAGUUCAAGAUGCAGGAAUGAAUGGAAAGGCAAAGUUACCUCUCUGAGGCCGGAUUCAAAGAUGCAUACAUGCCUUGAUCAAAACGCCUUAUUUCUUGGAAGAAAUUCUCUUCUAAUGCUUCUUUUUUGCAAAACUUGAAAAGCAUGUUCAAAAGAUAGACAAUACUAAUUCAAUCCUAUUCAUACGUGUACUCUACAAACAAAUUAGAACAUAUUCACUAUUAUUUAAAAAAAAAGGAAUACAUAGUAAGAAGCAAUCAUUAGUACAUAAGAACACAAUAGAAACUGCAAGAAACAUCUUCAGAAUAUAAUACAAGAAACAAUGAUUAAAUACUUCCAAUAGUGGCAAAAUUACAAAAGCAAGACCUCACAAUGAGGGAAGAAAUCCUUGUAGCAGAAUUAAAACUCUAUUAACCAAGAGAUUCAGAACUGCAUAAUUCAUGUGCCUUAAGAUUAGGGAACCUCUUAUGUGAUCACAUUAGAGGUCAUAGACAUUGAAGCAGCUCUGUCGUUCAAGUUCGAUAUUUCUUUCUUGAAAUCUUUAGCCAAGUCCCGAUUGAUAUUGGUACACUCCAUCUCACUUCCCUCUAAUUAAAAUUAUGGAAUAACACUUAUGACCGCAUCCCCGAAGACAUAUUGAAGUUUAUGGAGAUUCCCCAUGAACAUUUAAACACGUGGAGAAAUCCAUAAACACGAUUAAAAAAAAAUGAUUUCGAUUAAAAGUACGGACUUCUUUGUUCUCCCACACGCCUAAAAUCCGAUAAUAAGAACUUCAUGGAAUAUACCCUAUUUAUUGGAAAAUAAACCCAGAAAAAGCAAAUGUACCGUGAUAUCUCUGAAUCCAAAAAACCCAGAUGGUAACUGCAAACAUUAUAAUCAACAUAAGAUCCGCUAAAAAAAAUACAUACCAAGUGUGAAGAUUCUCAAUUAGAAGCUAUAUUAAGCGUGUGGCUUUCAAAGAAAAACAUGAUUAUGAAAUCACAAAUACAUAUUAAGACAUAGUUUAGCAAAUAUCCACUUAAACAUCUACAUUUUCAGUAACAAAAACAGAUUAUGUUCAAUCCCUAAAUGAAAAGCUAAUCGACUAGGUAUAACACACUUAUUCCAUAAGUGAAGGGUAAAUUCUAGAAAGAAGAAAGAGCUAAGAAGCACAUAAAUAAGGACAUAAGAAAAAUAACACCAGCCAAUCAUGUAAUCGAAUCUAUAAGAACAUAUAAAUCACCCAAAUACUAACGCUUUAACUCAUUAUUUCUCGCAGACAACGCCAAUUGGUGUUAACUACCAACGCUCAACUUUAAUAUUUAUAAAUUAAGAAACGUAGAUGACCUAUGUGCAGUAAACUUCAUAAAAAUCCUCAAGAAUUGUUGAAAGAGAGUAUUUUUUGUGUAUUUAUG
Molecule: long non-coding RNA, 3461 nt
Filed under: Salvia miltiorrhiza (redroot sage)
Lineage: Eukaryota; Viridiplantae; Streptophyta; Magnoliopsida; Lamiales; Lamiaceae
Description: long non-coding RNA (SMIL_LNC010760)
Source: RNAcentral